This 270-nucleotide long non-coding RNA is filed under the name Capsella rubella. Its description in RNAcentral is "long non-coding RNA (CRUB_LNC002643)". Lineage: Eukaryota; Viridiplantae; Streptophyta; Magnoliopsida; Brassicales; Brassicaceae. The record is from RNAcentral.
UCUUCUAUAAAAUCAGAUUCUCAAAAUCUCAUCAAAUUUAAUUACAACAGAUGUAGUCAAUGGAAUCUUCCAGCAGAUUCGUUGUUCAUUACUUCCCAUACAUUUGUCAAUCACUCAGAUUCAUUUUUUUUCCGGGUAAAAGGUUAAAAAUUUACAGAAAAAACGAAAAAAAAUAAAAACACUUAAUGAAAAAUUUAAAAACAACAUUACAACUCAAAAUGUUACUGAUCGCAAAUGAGUGCACAUGAUCAAGUUGUAGGAAGAAACACC